GUCCCCUGGGGGGUCCCUGUCCCAGUUUGGGGUCCCUGUCCCAGUUUGGGGGGUCCCUGUCCCAGUUUGGGGGGGCUCAGUCCCAGUUUGGGGGGUCCCUGUCCCAGUUUGGGGGGUCCCUGUCCCAGUUUGGGGGGUCCCUUUCCCCAAUUUUGGGGUCUCUCUUCCCAAUUUUGGGGUCUCUCCCCAUUUUUGGGGUCUCUCCCCAUUUUUGGGGUCUCUCUCCCCAUUUUUGGGGUCUCCCCCCCAAUUUCUGGGGUCUCCCCCCAAUUUUGGGGUCCCUGUCCCCAUUUUUGGGGUCCCUGUCCCCAAUUUUGGGGUCUCUCCCCCCAAUUUUGGGGUCCCUGUCCCCAUUUUUGGGGUCCCUGUCCCCAAUUCUGGGGUCUCUCUCCCCAAUUUUGGGGUCCCUGUCCCCAUUUUUGGGGUCCCUGUCCCAAAUUUUGGGGUCUCACUCCCCAUUUUUGGGGUCUCCCCCCCAAUUUUGGGGUCCCUUUCCCCAAUUUUGGGGUCUCACUCCCCAAUUUUGGGGUCCCUGUCCCAAAUUUUGGGGUCUCACUCCCCAUUUUUGGGGUCUCUCUCCCCAUUUUUGGGGUCUCUCUCCCCAAUUUUGGGGUCCCUGUCCCCAAUUCUGGGGUCUCCCCCCAAUUUUGGGGUCCCUCUCCCCGUUUUUGGGGUCCCCUCACCCCAGUUUCCCCCGCAGGCACCCAGGACAUCGUGUUUGGGGAGGUCGAUCGAUGAGGGGGGGUCCCCAACUUCCGGAUCCCAAAUUUUGGGGUCCCCCCACCCCAAUUUCCAGCCCAAUAAAGACAAAUUCGGGUCCUGAGCUCCGAGUCCCCUUUGUGCCCCCCCUUCCCCCAGUUUGGGGGUCCCUGUCCCAGUUUGGGGGGUCCCUGUCCCAGUUUGGGGUCCCUGUCCCAGUUUGGGGGGUCCCUGUCCCAGUUUGGGGGGUCUCUGUCCCAGUUUGGGGGGGCUCUGUCCCAGUUUGGGGGGGCUCUGUCCCAGUUUGGGGUCCCUGUCCCAGUUUGGGGGGGCUCUGUCCCAGUUUGGGGGGGCUCUGUCCCAGUUUGGGGGGUCCCUGUCCCAGUUUGGGGGGUCCCUGUCCCAGUUUGGGGGUCCCUGUCCCAGUUUGGGGGGGUCUUUCCUCACUUUGGGGGUCCCUUCCCCAAUUUGGGGGGUCCUUCCUCACUUUUGGGGGGUCUUUCCUCAUUUUGGGGGUUCCUUCCCCAAUUUGGGAUUUUUUUUCCCCAUUUUGGGGCCCCUCCCUCCGAUUUGGGGGGGCUCCUUCCUCUUCUGGCAUUUCCUUCCCCAUUUUUGGGGGGCUCCUUCCUCAUUUCUGCUCUUUCUUCCCAAAUUUUGGGGCUCCCCCUCCCCC
Molecule: long non-coding RNA, 1372 nt
Filed under: Cyanistes caeruleus (blue tit)
Lineage: Eukaryota; Metazoa; Chordata; Aves; Passeriformes; Paridae
Description: lncRNA (ENSCCEG00000000485.1)
Source: RNAcentral